RNAcentral lists this ribosomal RNA (465 nucleotides) under uncultured bacterium. Its description in RNAcentral is "partial 16S ribosomal RNA". It matches the Rfam family "Bacterial small subunit ribosomal RNA", at positions 28 to 522 of the family's 1533-position model. The record is from RNAcentral.
GAUGAAUGCUGGCGGCGUGCCUAACACAUGCAAGUCGAGCGGCAGCGCGGGUAGUUUACUACCUGGCGGUGAGCGGCGGACGGCUGAGUAACGCGUGGGAACGUACCCCAAAGUGAGGAAUAACUGCCCGAAAGGGUGGCUAAUGCCGCAUAUGCUCUUCGGAGUAAAGCUUUAUGCGCUUUGGGAGCGGCCCGCGUCGGAUUAGGUUGUUGGUGAGGUAAUGGCUCACCAAGCCGACGAUCCGUAGCUGGUCUUAGAGGAUGAUCAGCCAGACUGGAACUGAGACACGGUCCAGACUCCUACGGGAGGCAGCAGUGAGGAAUCUUCCACAAUGGGCGAAAGCCUGAUGGAGCAACGCCGCGUGCAGGAUGAAGGCCUUCGGGUUGUAAACUGCUUUUAUAAGUGAAGAAUAUGACGGUAACUUAUGAAUAAGCACCGGCUAACUACGUGCCAGCCGCCGCCGUA